GGUCAAUGUGGUAACAUGAGGCUCCUCCUAAGGCAGCAACAAAGGAUUCUGCUGUCAAAAUCUGAAGUUGCUGGAUGGGGAGCCUUCCUGAAGAACCCUGUUUACAAAAAUGAUUACCUGGGAGAAUAUACGGGUGAAUUAAUUUCUCAUCGAGAAGCAGAUAAGCGGGGGAAAAUAUAUGAUCGUGCAAAUUCGUCUUUCCUUUUCGACUUGAAUGAUCAGUAUGUCCUCGAUGCCUAUCGGAAGGGAGACAAGCUGAAAUUUGCCAAUCACUCAUCAAACCCAAACUGCUUUGCUAAGGUAAUGCUGGUUGCUGGUGAUCAUCGAGUUGGGAUAUUUGCAAAGGAACGUAUUGAAGCUAGUGAGGAGCUUUUCUAUGAUUAUCGUUAUGGUCCUGAUCAAGCGCCAAUAUGGGCUAGGAAACCUGAGGGCACAAAGAGAGAUGAUUCACCAGCGCCUUUAGGUCGACCAAAGAAACACCAAUAAUCUCAUUGAGACAGCAUGCUUAACCAUUUCUAUCUGUGGAGUGCUUCACAUGGAGGAGGAACAGAGGAAGCUGUACUACUUCUCUUAUAUACUGUAAUAAAGCAGUCAUAAAGAUAUUUAUUUGUUUGUUCUUUGUUGAGGGGUUCCUUUAUAUUUUUUACAUUAUAGUGUGCUAAUAAUAAUAAGACAUCAAAGAAGUAAUAGGAGAGAGGAUCCAGCUAUGUAAAGAAUAAGCAGAAAAAUAUUGAAGGAAACAUGUAUACUGUAGUCGUCCGAACAAGGUGUCUGGU
RNAcentral lists this unclassified non-coding RNA (776 nucleotides) under Hevea brasiliensis (rubber tree). The record is from RNAcentral. Lineage: Eukaryota; Viridiplantae; Streptophyta; Magnoliopsida; Malpighiales; Euphorbiaceae.